GUCUAUAUAGCUUAUGUUAGAGUUUAGCACUGAAGUUGCUAAGGAGUAGUUUACUGUGGACA
This 62-nucleotide transfer RNA is filed under the name Occasjapyx japonicus. Its description in RNAcentral is "tRNA-Phe". The record is from RNAcentral. Lineage: Eukaryota; Metazoa; Arthropoda; Diplura; Dicellurata; Japygidae.